GCCUACGGGGGGCAGCAGUAGGGAAUCUUCCACAAUGGGCGAAAGCCUGGUGGAGCAACGCCGCGUGGGUGAAGAAGGUCUUCGGAUCAUAAAACCCUGUUGUUAGAGAAGAAAGUGCGUGAGAGUAACUGUUCACGUUUCGACGGUAUCUAACCAGAAAGCCACGGCUAACUACGUGCCAGCAGCCGCGGUAAUACGUAGGUGGCAAGCGUUAUCCGGAUUUAUUGGGCGUAAAGGGAACGCAGGCGGUCUUUUAAGUCUGAUGUGAAAGCCUUCGGCUUAACCGGAGUAGUGCAUUGGAAACU
This 305-nucleotide ribosomal RNA is filed under the name uncultured bacterium. RNAcentral's name for it is "bacterial SSU rRNA". It matches the Rfam family "Bacterial small subunit ribosomal RNA", at positions 337 to 634 of the family's 1533-position model. The record is from RNAcentral.